Molecule: ribosomal RNA, 857 nt
Filed under: uncultured Bacteroidota bacterium
Lineage: Bacteria; Pseudomonadati; Bacteroidota
Description: bacterial SSU rRNA
Rfam family: Bacterial small subunit ribosomal RNA
Source: RNAcentral
CAAGUCGCGUGCGCAGUUCCGUAGCAAUACGGGAUGGGCGCACGGCGCACGGGUGCGUAACACGUGGGCAAUCUGCCCUCUGAUGGGGAAUAACCCGCCGAAAGGCGGGCUAAUUCCGCAUAAGAUUCCCGGAACUUCGGUUCUGGGAUUGAAAGCAGUAAUGCGUCGGAGGAGGAGCCCGCGCCCGAUUAGCUAGUUGGUGAGGUAACGGCUCACCAAGGCAAUGAUCGGUAGCUGGUCUGAGAGGAUGAUCAGCCACACUGGAACUGAGACACGGUCCAGACUCCUACGGGAGGCAGCAGUGGGGAAUCUUGCACAAUGGGCGAAAGCCUGAUGCAGCGACGCCGCGUGGGGGAUGAAGCAUUUCGGUGUGUAAACCCCUUUCGACUGGGAAGAAUGCCUCGCAAGAGGAGUGACGGUACCAGUAGAAGAAGCCCCGGCUAACUACGUGCCAGCAGCCGCGGUAAGACGUAGGGGGCCAGCGUUGUUCGGAAUUACUGGGUGUAAAGGGUUCGUAGGCGGUGCGGCAAGUUGGGAGUGAAAUCUCUGGGCUUAACCCAGAGGCUGCUUCCAAAACUGCUGUGCUCGAGUGUGAGAGAGGCUCGUGGAAUUGCAGGUGUAGCGGUGAAAUGCGUAGAUAUCUGCAGGAACACCCGUGGCGAAAGCGGCGAGCUGGAUCACUACUGACGCUGAGGAACGAAAGCUAGGGGAGCAAACAGGAUUAGAUACCCUGGUAGUCCUAGCCCUAAACGAUCAGGACUUGGGGUGCCGCCCGUUCGGGCGUCGUCCCGGAGCUAACGCGUUAAGUCCUGCACCUGGGGAGUACGGUCGCAAGACUGAAACUCAAAGGAAUUGAC